GACAGAGGGUGCAAACGUUGCUCGGAAUUACUGGGCGUAAAGCGCGUGUAGGCGGGCCGGAAAGUCGGGCGUGAAACCCCUGGGCUCAACCCAGGAACUGCACUCGAAACUUCCGGUCUAGAGUGGUGGAGAGGGAAGUGGAAUUCCUGGUGUAGAGGUGAAAUUCGUAGAUAUCAGGAGGAACACCAGUGGCGAAGGCGGCUUCGUGGACACCAACUGACGCUGAGACGCGAAAGCGUGGGGAGCAAACAGG
This 253-nucleotide ribosomal RNA is filed under the name uncultured bacterium. Its description in RNAcentral is "partial 16S ribosomal RNA". It matches the Rfam family "Bacterial small subunit ribosomal RNA", at positions 524 to 776 of the family's 1533-position model. The record is from RNAcentral.